CACAAAUCCGUUAUGAAUAAAAUAGAUAAUUGAAUUGCAAUCACAAUUGGAAGAAAUCAAUUCAUAUUGCAAAUAUAUUCAUGGUUUCGAAUUCUCCUCUAGCCAAAAGAGGUUUAGUUCCUCAUACUUACAAUUAAACAGAAACAAUUGAAAUUAAACAUUGAAAACCAAAGUAGAAUACACCUAGAAUGCUCCAGCAAUCCA
Molecule: long non-coding RNA, 204 nt
Filed under: Malus domestica (apple)
Lineage: Eukaryota; Viridiplantae; Streptophyta; Magnoliopsida; Rosales; Rosaceae
Description: long non-coding RNA (MDOM_LNC017036)
Source: RNAcentral